UACCUACGGGUGGCAGCAGUGGGGAAUUUUGGACAAUGGGCGCAAGCCUGAUCCAGCAAUGCCGCGUGCAGGAAGAAGGCCUUCGGGUUGUAAACUGCUUUUGUACGGAACGAAACGGUCUGGGUUAAUACCCUGGGCUAAUGACGGUACCGUAAGAAUAAGCACCGGCUAACUACGUGCCAGCAGCCGCGGUAAUACGUAGGGUGCAAGCGUUAAUCGGAAUUACUGGGCGUAAAGCGUGCGCAGGCGGUUGUGUAAGACAGGCGUGAAAUCCCCGGGCUCAACCUGGGAACUGCGCUUGUGACUGCACGGCUAGAGUACGGCAGAGGGGGGUGGAAUUCCACGUGUAGCAGUGAAAUGCGUAGAGAUGUGGAGGAACACCGAUGGCGAAGGCAGCCCCCUGGGCCGAUACUGACGCUCAUGCACGAAAGCGUGGGUAGCAAACAGGAUUAGAUACCCUGGUAGUCUG
This 469-nucleotide ribosomal RNA is filed under the name uncultured Comamonadaceae bacterium. RNAcentral's name for it is "bacterial SSU rRNA". It matches the Rfam family "Bacterial small subunit ribosomal RNA", at positions 335 to 797 of the family's 1533-position model. Lineage: Bacteria; Pseudomonadati; Pseudomonadota; Betaproteobacteria; Burkholderiales; Comamonadaceae. The record is from RNAcentral.